GGUUAAGCGACUAAGCGUACACGGUGGAUGCCUAGGCAAUCAGAGGCGAUGAAGGACGUGCUAAUCUGCGAAAAGCGUCGGUAAGGUGAUAUGAACCGCUAUAGCCGACGAUGUCCGAAUGGGGAAACCCAGUGCAAUUCGUUGCACUAUCGUUUGAUGAAUCCAUAGUCAAACGAGGCGAACCGAGGGAACUGAAACAUCUCAGUACCUCGAGGAAAAGAAAUCAACCGAGAUUCCCCUAGUAGCGGCGAGCGAACGGGGAGCAGCCCAGAGUCUUAAUCAGCAUCAGCAUCAGGAGAACGGUCUGGAAAGUCCGGCAGUAAAGGGUGAUAGCCCCGUAUCCGAAGGUGUUGGUGUUGUGAACUCGACGAGUAGGGCGGGACACGUGUUAUCCUGUCUGAAUAUGGGGGGACCAUCCUCCAAGGCUAAAUACUCCUGAUUGACCGAUAGUGAACCAGUACCGUGAGGGAAAGGCGAAAAGAACCCCGGCGAGGGGAGUGAAAUAGAACCUGAAACCGUGUACGUACAAGCAGUGGGAGCACCUUUUAGGUGUGACUGCGUACCUUUUGUAUAAUGGGUCAGCGACUUAUAUUCUGUAGCAAGGUUAACCGUAUAGGGGAGCCGUAGGGAAACCGAGUCUUAACUGGGCGAAUAAGUUGCAGGGUAUAGACCCGAAACCCGGUGAUCUAGCCAUGGGCAGGUUGAAGGUUGGGUAACACUAACUGGAGGACCGAACCGACUAAUGUUGAAAAAUUAGCGGAUGACUUGUGGCUGGGGGUGAAAGGCCAAUCAAACCGGGAGAUAGCUGGUUCUCCCCGAAAGCUAUUUAGGUAGCGCCUCGUGAACUCAUCUUCGGGGGUAGAGCACUGUUUCGGCUAGGGGGUCAUCCCGACUUACCAACCCGAUGCAAACUACGAAUACCGAAGAAUGUUAUCACGGGAGACACACGGCGGGUGCUAACGUUCGUCGUGAAGAGGGAAACAACCCAGACCGCCAGCUAAGGUCCCAAAGUCAUGGUUAAGUGGGAAACGAAGUGGGAAGGCUCAGACAGCCAGGAUGUUGGCUUAGAAGCAGCCAUCAUUUAAAGAAAGCGUAAUAGCUCACUGGUCGAGUCGGCCUGCGCGGAAGAUGUAACGGGGCUAAACCAUGCACCGAAGCUGCGGCAGCGACAUUUAGAUGUUGUUGGGUAGGGGAGCGUUCUGUAAGCCUGUGAAGGUGUGCUGCGAGGCAUGCUGGAGGUAUCAGAAGUGCGAAUGCUGACAUAAGUAACGAUAAUGCGGGUGAAAAACCCGCACGCCGGAAGACCAAGGGUUCCUGUCCAACGUUAAUCGGGGCAGGGUGAGUCGACCCCUAAGGCGAGGCAGAAAUGCGUAGUCGAUGGGAAACAGGUUAAUAUUCCUGUACUGGUGAUAAUUGCGAUGGGGGGACGGAGAAGGCUAGGCUGGCCGGGCGACGGUUGUCCCGGUUUAAGGAUGUAGGCAGGUGAAUUAGGCAAAUCCGGUUCACUACAUGCUGAGGUCUGAUGACGAGUCACUACGGUGGCGAAGUAGCUCAUGCCCCGCUUCCAGGAAAAGCCUCUAAGCUCUAGAUUAUCAUUAAUCGUACCCCAAACCGACACAGGUGGUCAGGUAGAGAAUACUCAGGCGCUUGAGAGAACUCGGGUGAAGGAACUAGGCAAAAUGGUGCCGUAACUUCGGGAGAAGGCACGCUGGCGCUAGGUGAAGUCCCUCGCGGAUGGAGCUGAAGCCAGUCGCAGAUACCAGCUGGCUGCAACUGUUUAUUAAAAACACAGCACUGUGCAAACACGAAAGUGGACGUAUACGGUGUGACGCCUGCCCGGUGCUGGAAGGUUAAUUGAUGGGGUUAUCCGUAAGGAGAAGCUCUUGAUCGAAGCCCCAGUAAACGGCGGCCGUAACUAUAACGGUCCUAAGGUAGCGAAAUUCCUUGUCGGGUAAGUUCCGACCUGCACGAAUGGCGUAAUGAUGGCCAGGCUGUCUCCACCCGAGACUCAGUGAAAUUGAACUCGCUGUGAAGAUGCAGUGUACCCGCGGCAAGACGGAAAGACCCCGUGAACCUUUACUAUAGCUUGACACUGAACAUUGAGCCUUGAUGUGUAGGAUAGGUGGGAGGCUUUGAAGUGUGGACGCCAGUCUGCAUGGAGCCAACCUUGAAAUACCACCCUUUAAUGUUUGAUGUUCUAACGUGGCCCCAUAAUCUGGGGUGCGGACAGUGUCUGGUGGGUAGUUUGACUGGGGCGGUCUCCUCCCAAAGAGUAACGGAGGAGCACGAAGGUUGGCUAAGCAUGGUCGGACAUCAUGCGGUUAGUGCAAAGGCAUAAGCCAGCUUGACUGCGAGAGUGACGGCUCGAGCAGGUACGAAAGUAGGUCUUAGUGAUCCGGUGGUUCUGAAUGGAAGGGCCAUCGCUCAACGGAUAAAAGGUACUCCGGGGAUAACAGGCUGAUACCGCCCAAGAGUUCAUAUCGACGGCGGUGUUUGGCACCUCGAUGUCGGCUCAUCACAUCCUGGGGCUGAAGUAGGUCCCAAGGGUAUGGCUGUUCGCCAUUUAAAGUGGUACGCGAGCUGGGUUUAGAACGUCGUGAGACAGUUCGGUCCCUAUCUGCCGUGGGCGUUGGAAGAUUGAAAGGGGCUGCUCCUAGUACGAGAGGACCGGAGUGGACGCACCACUGGUGUUCGGGUUGUCAUGCCAAUGGCACUGCCCGGUAGCUAAGUGCGGAAGAGAUAACCGCUGAAAGCAUCUAAGCGGGAAACUUGCCUUGAGAUGAGUCUUCCCUGACUCUUUAAGGGUCCUAAAGGAACGUUUAAGACUAAGACGUUGAUAGGCUGGGUGUGUAAGCGUAGCGAUACGUUGAGCUAACCAGUACUAAUGAACCGUGAGGCUUAACCUG
Molecule: ribosomal RNA, 2906 nt
Filed under: Providencia stuartii
Lineage: Bacteria; Pseudomonadati; Pseudomonadota; Gammaproteobacteria; Enterobacterales; Morganellaceae
Description: 23S ribosomal RNA
Rfam family: Bacterial large subunit ribosomal RNA
Source: RNAcentral